AAUAUUACCCGGAUGUCCAUGCCGAUGUCCAAUAGGCCGACCACCGUGAGUGGGUGAUUGAUGAAGAAAAAAAGCUAUCAAACUUCCAUCAUUUGUGUGGCUCUGUGGAAUUACUGGCCGCAAUAGGCAGAAAGCGGGUGUUAGCGAGAGAUAUUCAGUAGCGACCAGAUUACAUUUCUGCCCGUAGCAGCACAAACACGGUAGCCCCAUAUUUAUCAACGAGGUGCUGCAUGUAAUCAUCGGUCCCGAAACGUUGACAAGGAAAAGGCACCGAUCGUGAACACUUUGCGCCCGCCCUCAGUUAGGCAAACGCGCACACACACACACCCACACACUGCCAUCGCGGUUUUCUUUCACAUCCCUGUGAAAAGCCACAAACCACAGACGACCGGCCAGGAGCAACAGGAGCAGCAAUAUGCAAGCGAUCAAAUGUGUUGUCGUCGGUGACGGUGCCGUCGGUAAGACGUGCCUGCUGAUCAGCUACACAACAAAUGCAUUUCCCGGCGAGUACAUCCCGACCGUGUUCGAUAACUACUCCGCGAACGUGAUGGUCGACGGCAAACCGAUCAACCUCGGUCUGUGGGAUACGGCCGGACAGGAGGAUUACGAUCGGCUCCGGCCCCUAUCCUACCCGCAGACGGACGUAUUUCUCAUUUGCUUUUCGCUCGUCAAUCCGGCCUCGUUUGAGAACGUGCGAGCAAAAUGGUACCCGGAGGUGCGUCACCACUGUCCGAACAUACCGAUCAUACUGGUCGGGACGAAGCUUGAUCUGCGGGAUGACAAAAACACGGUGGACAAGCUGCGCGACAAGAAGCUGUCACCGAUCACGUACCCGCAAGGGUUGGCAAUGGCGAAGGAGAUUGGCGCGGUCAAGUACCUCGAGUGUUCCGCAUUGACGCAGAAGGGCCUGAAGACGGUGUUCGACGAAGCGAUCCGGGCGGUCCUCUGUCCGAUGAUACCGCCGAAGAAGAAACCCAAGUGUAACAUCCUCUAAAGAUUGUUCGGUUUAUUUUCUGUUUUUUUAAAAAGGCAAACAAAACACAAAACAAACACAGAAGAAGAAGAAAAAAGAAUACAAUCGCGCUUUUGCCUAGCUCUCCUUCCAUCAUCAUCCCCCCCUUGGUCUGUGCCGCCGCCGCCUCCCCCAUUCCUGGGGUUGGUGUAGGUGUGUAUGAAGAACGUUCUUCCAAGUGGCACAUUCACCCGUUCCUGUGUUCCCACCAUCUGCGGCGUCUCUCUCUGUCUCUCUCUCUCUCGCCCUCUCCCAGUAAAACGUAUUGUAGGGAAGAAGUAAAAAAACAAAACGAGUUAAAGAAGCACAGGACACACAACACACGUGGAAGAAAUCAUACUAUCAGCGCAAACAAAAACCUCCCUCUCCCAGAAGCACAAUCAGAAUCGGCAAGAUAUCGGCCAAAGCUCCUUCGGGUGAAAUUUAUGGUUCCUCUGCAACAGGAGACACGAAGCAUUGUACUGUAAUAGGAAUGAUAAAUGGAACAAAACAUCUUUCACCAACAAGGCCAUCUACGCGAGAACAGAGCAAAAAAAAAAACAAAAAAGAAGACAACAAAACGGUAGAAUGCAAUUCACAAUGCGAUUCCAUCAUCGAGCCAUCGUUCGUUCACACAUAAUCAUUUCCCGGCUCAUGCUCAUUAUCGUCUUUUAUCAUACGCAUAUGGUUGGCGCCCAUCAGCCGUGUGGCGUGACCUUCCCCUGUCUGUACUGUGUUCAGUUGAUUUUUAUUGAGUUUAGUUUUAUUUUGUUAAUACACCAUCUUGCUGCCCGGUACAACCCGGAAGAAAAGGUUGUGAAGUACUGAGAUGCAAUAGUGUGCCGAGUAUAGUGGGCUUUGUAGUGUAUGCCCCAAAACAAAAAGCGGAAGCACAAUUCAUGCAAACAAUGCGUGUAAGAACGUGACUAGGAAUGAGACACAACAUUGCAAUGGACAGCGUAUCGGUCUGGUAUUGGAAGAAGGCAGCAUUUAUCCGUGUACCGGGAGCAGAUCAUAGCGAUUAGGCGGGACAGUUUCCACCUACACCUUCGUCUGCAUGGAUUUGCACAAGAUCUAGCCCUCCCCACCCCUGCAGCGUGGAUAGUGCGCCCCGUAUUGGUUGGUUUAACUCAAAAGAUAAACUUCAAAGGAUCGAUCUGCUUCACACAUACUUACGAGGCGCAAAAAAGUGAAGAGCAAAAAAAAAAGGCCAAAAACGGUUUAUGUGAUUAGUAACUACGACACACGAUCGUAAGGAACCAAUGUCACAAUUUAUGGUUCUAGUAGUAGGUCCGUUUUAUUCAAAUUUUGCAGAUCAAAGCAGAAAUUACUUUUCAUGCCAUUGUAGUCUUUGUUUUAUAGAAUUUGUAAACAGAUCGCUUAGGGACACGCAAGCAACAGCAGUAGUUCAAAUCGCGCACAUGAUUUCUGUUUCGUUAUAACCCGUCUGGUAUGUUAAUGCUAUCGAGAAGAAUAUUGUGAUGAAAGUUAGGUAAUUUUUUGCCAGAUUAUUUAGUUUACCUUCAAUUAAGCUGAAAUUUUAGAAUUUCCCGCUACGAGAAAAGAUUGUGAAGCUUAUUUUAAAUUGUAUUUUAAGCAUGUUUCAUGCUUGAUUUGGCCUUACUGUCCAUUGAAUUAUUGUACGUACUUGGUACUAUCAGGAAUGAAGUACAUUUCGUAUUAUGUUAUUUUAUGUUUUAUUUUUUUUUCAUUUUAUGUAGUUUUACCAAAAAUUAUGUCACACACAUAAUUUUUCUGUAUGAAUUGUUGCUACCGAUAAUCAAGCAGGGAGGAAAGCAAUAGAAUCAUGGCAAAGUCGAACACACUUGAAACACACUUAAUACACUUAACACACACACACAAACUGUUUAACGAAAUUCAUUCACAUGUAAAUGCGCCGUUUCACUGGGAGAGAAGAUUAUGUGCUGGAUUGAGCAGAAGAACCAUAAGAAGGAGAGUUAGGAAUCGGGUUGCGACAAGCGUGGUGUUAGAUGUUAGUAGGAAAACGGGGAAAAUCCCAUUACAAUUACACUACGGAACAGAAACGAAACAAAAACAAAAAAACAAACAAAAUUGCAUAUAUACAAGCGAGGUAGAAGCGUUACAGAAACAAACCUAAAAUCAAACAAACUAUGUAAGAUAGGUAUGUGUGUGUGUAUGAGUGUGCGCGUGUGUAUGUGUAAAACGAAUACACAACAAUUCGAAAACUGGUCGAAAGGACAACACACGUCCAUGUAUGCCUGCGUAUGUAUGCGUGUGUGUGUAUGCAUGUGUGGUGAUUGUUCUUUAGAAAUAAUGGCAUAAGAGUUGAAACCUUCCCAAAUCGAAUUACGAUCACGAUCAUACAAGCGCAAAUCUUGCAGCCCAGAUGUUAUACAACACAACUUUGGCAAAUCUGUUUUGUUUCUAAUUCUUCAACCAUUUAUCCGAUCGAAUGAAGUUUUCGGUCUAGUCGAGAUUAAAGAAUGAGGGUCGUGGUCGUUUUAUUGCGACCGGUAGAAUUGUCGAGUCCACGACACGGUAGUAAUUGAAUAUUGUUGGCCACUAUUUCCUACUAUCACGGAACAAUCAUUUACUGUACAUCUCAUAUGUUCAGCUGCUUCCCUACUAUCCCCCAAAAAAAAAAAAGAAGCUUUUUGGACAUAUGGCCAUAGGCAAACUUCCGAACGCAAAACGCAAAAAUUGUCCUUAUAUGCAUCUGUUUUUUUAAAUAUGUUCUUUCACUCUCUCUCUCUCUCUUUUAAUCGCGGUGUAAAAGUGUAUAGAUGUUUUGUUGUCCUGCUGCGAAUGCGCUUUUUGUAAUCGCUGUAUAUGUGUCUGUAUGUAUGUAUGUGUGUGUGUGUGUGCGUGUUGUGUUGCUCUUUUGCAUACCGAUAAAUCUCGGCGAGAAGGCGCAACGCACAAACCUCCUCCACCCCUUCACGUGUUCUAAACCGCGUAAACACAAAAGAAAAAGAAAUAGUGGCAAACAAGAUGCAAAAAAGAAAGAAACCCCCGUAACCAAAAUAGCUGUUAAAAUGCGAUCGGAAAACUUAGUCUAUAUAAUUAAAGAAAAGUAUCCUUUCGGAUCUUUGAGGGGCGGGGGGAGGUCAUGUUUGCGAUGAUGAAAAAUUAUAGCUAACAGACUAUUCUUACCCAGAAAGGGAUAUCCGUGUGUGUGUGGGUGCCACAGCAGACGCAAUAGAAGGUGACCACACAAAUGGGAGGGUUUUGGAGGAGAAAAAAAACUUUAUAACAAAGUGUAAUGCAUUAAUAUUAGGUAGGCUGAGAUAUAUAGGCGUGCGCUUUUCCUGCGUUUUUGUUUUCAAAAAACUAACAGAUGGGAAAGUGUAGAUUAAUACAUUUGUGAGAGAAGAAAAACAAAAAACAAACAGACAAAAAAACUCCCUCAUUGCUCCCAUCUCUAGGAACAGAUUUAUACAAAAGUGGUAAAAAAAAACAAAAGGAAGAACCCACAGAACGAACAUAUACACCACAUAUUCCUGACACACAACACGACAAACACAUGCAAAAUUUUCACAGAAACAAAAAAAAAUAUGUAAGGUGUCAAAAAAACGAUGUUUUAAUCCAAUGAGGAAGAAACAAAUUGAAACUCCUCUGUACGGAGGGGGAGAUAUCAGUACCGGAGACAAAGAAAAGGAUGAUGUUAAACAAUUAGAGUGUGAAGCUACCGAAAAUUUUACGCUGGUUCCGUUACCUUCCAGCUUCACUGUUUUUUUUUUCUUUCCUUUUCUUUCUAGCAAGAUAGAAAAACGGAAACAUCGCGAACAAAAAAAGAAAACCAAAACCAAAAUAAAACAGAUAGCAAACCCCGAAAGGUAAACGAGAAACACAAACAAACAAACAAACAAAACAAAACAAAAUCUUCAUACUAACAGCUAAAACUUUGUUGCAAUCAGAAGAGAGAAAGCGGGAGAGAAGUAAAAAAAAAAAGAAAACCGAUACCGAAAGAAGAAAAAGCAAAGGACCGGUGCCGGUGCGAGAAAAGAAAAGAAUUAUUGAUAUAACACUUUUUAAUAAGUAAUGGAUUAUUAUGAUUAUGAUUAUUAUUAUUAUUAUUGAGUAAUUAAUAAAACAAAGAUAAAAUACUAAAAACAAAAAACCGAGGUUUAUCCCGUCCACAGAUGAUUCGGUCCACACAGCGUGUUAUCGUUUUAGGGAGAAAAUUGGAGAAAAUUUUUGCAUUUAUACUUUUGUUUUGCUUCUGUUGUUUCAGUUUGUUAGUUUGGUUUUACCUUCCCCGUGGAAGAUGUAGCGUAACGUGUCCUUCACCAGGACGUUACUGCAUUGCUGCAUCGAUGAUUCAAACGUGUCGCCAUCAUGAAAUCGUUCGCAUCGUUCCCUUAUCGUUCAUCAUCAACCAAAUCAUCUCACACACCGCCAUCGGCUCUUUAGUAUGGACAAUCGAACAACUUGGCUUCAUUUAUCAUUCACGCACAGUGCUGCGCACAUAUUGGAGGGAUGAAGAUAAUGGGUCCCCUUCUAGUAGAGCACCAAAACGCUUCACGCCCUUUUCGGCCCAUUCUAUCUGGCGGGGCCAACCAUUGUGGCGUUUGUUUUCGUACUAAAAACGGCCGAUACUUAUUAUGGAGGUGGAAAAGGUGGACGGAAUGGACGCAAACGACCUAAUGUGGAGUAUGAACGGAAGGAACGCACAACCUUUGGAACAGGAGCAGAUUCUACGCAACAUCAACUAUCAACGCUGAACUCGAUAUGGCACAAUACAAAAAUCACUAUAUACUGUAUUAUUCGCACUUUAGGCGUGAUUUAUCCCUCUGUACUGUUGAACACUGUUUUCCAAAUCUAAAUAACUGUCUGAAACAUAAUGGCUAAAAUUAUACGCUCGACACACUGUAGGCGCCUGUAGAGAUUGAAAAAAUAACGUUUAGCUUGGUUAAAAUUUUACUGAAGUAUUAGUAUAUAAGUAUAUUAUUAUCAUUUAUAGCUUAUGGCUGGUUUUUGUUUACCGCUGCGUGAGCCUACGGUAGUAUGUAAUACUUUCUUAAACAGGUGAAUUUACCCAACAAAGGUUUUUGGAGAAAUUGGACCAAAUUAUUGUAUUAUCCCUGUCACAUCGUAUACUACUAGAAAGUGAUCUUAGAACAAAAUAUUGCUUACUUUCCGGAGCCAGAGGAUCAUGACAAAAUCGAAAGAGAUAGAAACAUAUUCACAACUUGUGAUGUUUGAUUUUAGCUCAAUUUAAUAUUUUAUUUAUCAUUAACUAUACUGUUUUGCUUUGAUUGAGGUUAUCGUAGGGUGUCUGGCUUUUGAAAACUGUGAUAAUUGUCACUAGAGCACGCCAGGAGACAUGGAAACAAAACGAAACAUCUAUCAAUUGCAUACUUUAUGGAAAGUUCUAAUAUUGCUCACCUUUUGUUGGUGGAUAAAAAUGGAUAUAUUGGAGUUAUCGUGGUCUGUUGGUCACUUUACGAGAAUCUAAGCAAUUAUUUGAACAAAUCAAGCGCAAAAUUUGUUUACGUAUAUUUUUAUUUAUUUAUUUUACUUGUUUGUAGUGAUUUAGAUAAUAUUUUUGUUAUAACUUUAGUUGGCAAAGUUUGUUUUAGUUUUCAAACUAUUUCCAUUUUUGUUUAGUAUUCAAUCUAGACUACUAGCAAUGUACCAGAAAGAUAGCACAACUUCUUUGCUGACGAACAACAAUUCAAUCAAAAAUUAAUACCAUUUCUAAACGUAUUGAAUAAUACAAAAUAGAAGAAAAAAUUACCCUUCUUUCAAA
Anopheles funestus (African malaria mosquito) is the source of this 6725-nucleotide RNA transcript. It is a transcript of the gene named ras-related protein Rac1, with no coding region annotated. The transcript has 4 exons. The record is from RefSeq and is a predicted model, not a curated record. NCBI's taxonomy places the organism in Eukaryota, Metazoa, Arthropoda, Insecta, Diptera, Culicidae.